This 406-nucleotide ribosomal RNA is filed under the name uncultured bacterium. RNAcentral's name for it is "partial 16S ribosomal RNA". It matches the Rfam family "Bacterial small subunit ribosomal RNA", at positions 30 to 526 of the family's 1533-position model. The record is from RNAcentral.
AUUGAACGCUGGCGGCAGGCCUAACACAUGCAAGUCGAGCGAGUGGCGGACGGGUGAGUAAUGUAUGGGGAUCUGCCCGAUAGAGGGGGAUAACUACUGGAAACGGUAGCUAAUACCGCAUACUAUCGGAUGAACCCAGAUGGGAUUAGCUAGUAGGUGGGGUAAAGGCUCACCUAGGCGACGAUCCCUAGCUGGUCUGAGAGGAUGAUCAGCCACACUGGGACUGAGAAACGGCCCAGAGUCCUACGUGAGGCAGCAGUGGGGAAUAUUGCACCAUGGGCGCAAGCCUGAUGCAGCCAUGCCGCGUGUAUGAAGAAGGCCUUAGGGUUGUAAAGUACUUUCAGCGGGGAGGCGUUACCCGCAGAAGAAGCACCGGCUAACUCCGUGCCAGCAGCCGCGGUAAUUC